AUACUUACCUGGACGGGGUCGAUGGCCGAUCAAGAAGGGUCAUGGUCUAGGCUAGUGGCCUUCAUUGCACUUGGAAGGAGUACUAGCCUACCAUCUCCCCAAGUGGGAGAGUGGAUGUCAUAAUUUGUGGUAGAGGGGUACGCGUUCGCGCGGCCCCUAU
Molecule: small nuclear RNA, 160 nt
Organism: Panicum virgatum (switchgrass)
Lineage: Eukaryota; Viridiplantae; Streptophyta; Magnoliopsida; Poales; Poaceae
Product: U1 spliceosomal RNA
Exons: 1
Source: RefSeq, a predicted model, not a curated record